RNAcentral lists this transfer RNA (73 nucleotides) under Gomphaeschna furcillata. RNAcentral's name for it is "tRNA-Val". Lineage: Eukaryota; Metazoa; Arthropoda; Insecta; Odonata; Aeshnidae. The record is from RNAcentral.
AACAAAUUAKAGCUUGAUAGGAAGCAUUUCAUUUACACUGAAAAUUUUACUGUGCAAUUCAGUUUAGUUUGAU